UUCUGCCCUAUGAUUAUUUAAAUGGCUGCAGUAUAUUGACUGUGCAAAGGUAGCAUAAUAAUUAGUCAUUUAAUUGUUGACUGGAAUGAAUGAAUACAUGAGAUAUAUAUUAUAUUAAUUUUAUAUUUUUAAUUUUAUUUUUAGGUAAAAAAGCUUAAUUUUAUAUUAGGGACGAUAAGACCCUAUAGAACUUUAUUAAUUUUUGUAAUUUUUGUAAUUUUGUUACUUUAUUUAUUUUUUUAUUAACAUUUUUUUUAUUGGGGUGGUAAGUAAAUUUAACUUUACUUUUUUUUUUCAUUUAUUUAUGUUUAUUAUGAUCCAUUAAUUUAGAUUUUAAGAACAAGUUACCUUAGGGAUAACAGCGUAAUUUUAGUGGGGAGUUCCUAUUUAUACUAAAGUUUGCGACCUCGAUGUUGAAUUAAGAUAAGUUUGGGGGGUAG
RNAcentral lists this ribosomal RNA (440 nucleotides) under Catenocola angularis. Its description in RNAcentral is "partial large subunit ribosomal RNA". The record is from RNAcentral. Lineage: Eukaryota; Metazoa; Arthropoda; Insecta; Hemiptera; Cicadellidae.